Molecule: ribosomal RNA, 916 nt
Filed under: uncultured bacterium
Lineage: Bacteria
Description: bacterial SSU rRNA
Rfam family: Bacterial small subunit ribosomal RNA
Source: RNAcentral
UUGUUGGUAAGGUAAAGGCUUACCAAGGCUUCGAUCAGUAGCUGGUCUGAGAGGACGGCCAGCCACACUGGGACUGAGACACGGCCCAGACUCCUACGGGAGGCAGCAGUGGGGAAUUUUGGACAAUGGGGGAAACCCUGAUCCAGCCAUGCCGCGUGAGUGAAGAAGGCCUUCGGGUUGUAAAGCUCUUUCAGCCGGAACGAAACGGUUACGGAUAAUACCCGUGACUACUGACGGUACCGGAAGAAGAAGCACCGGCUAACUACGUGCCAGCAGCCGCGGUAAUACGUAGGGUGCGAGCGUUAAUCGGAAUUACUGGGCGUAAAGCGUGCGCAGGUGGUUUUGUAAGUCAGAUGUGAAAGCCCCGGGCUCAACCUGGGAACUGCGUUUGAAACUACAAGACUAGAGUGUGGCAGAGGGGGGUGGAAUUCCGCGUGUAGCAGUGAAAUGCGUAGAGAUGUGGAGGAACACCGAUGGCGAAGGCAGCCCCCUGGGUUAACACUGACACUCAGGCACGAAAGCAUGGGGAGCAAACAGGAUUAGAUACCCUGGUAGUCCAUGCCCUAAACGAUGUCAACUAGUUGUCGGGCCUUUACGGGCUUGGUAACGUAGCUAACGCGUGAAGUUGACCGCCUGGGGAGUACGAUCGCAAGAUUAAAACUCAAAUGAAUUGACGGGGACCCGCACAAGCGGUGGAUUAUGUGGAUUAAUUCGAUGCAACGCGAAAAACCUUACCUACCCUUGACAUGUAUCGAAGCCCGCAGAAAAGCGGGGGUGCCCGAAAGGGAACGAUAACACAGGUGCUGCAUGGCUGUCGUCAGCUCGUGUCGUGAGAUGUUGGGUUAAGUCCCGCAACGAGCGCAACCCUUGUCAUUAAUUGCCAUCAUUUAGUUGGACACUUUAAUGAGACUGCCGG